UUGAUUCAUUUUCGAAACGCCCGCUAGGGGCGCCGAGAUGGUUCAGAAUUAUAAAAGUCCGCGAGGGACAUACAAAAGAGUUUUGGUUGGUCCUCCGGCGGGCGCCUUGGUCCGGGGCUGCGACGCACCCGGGGCGUGACCCCGCCGAGGCAACAGUUUGGUAACGUUCACAUUGGGUUUGGGAGUUGUAAACUCGGUAAUGAUCCCUCCGCUGGUUCACCAACGGAGA
Molecule: unclassified non-coding RNA, 229 nt
Filed under: uncultured fungus
Lineage: Eukaryota; Fungi
Description: sequence contains ITS1
Source: RNAcentral